Molecule: ribosomal RNA, 370 nt
Filed under: uncultured organism
Description: bacterial SSU rRNA
Rfam family: Bacterial small subunit ribosomal RNA
Source: RNAcentral
GAGGGUGCAAACGUUGCUCGGAAUCACUGGGCGUAAAGGGCGUGUAGGCGGGAAGGAAAGUCAGAUGUGAAAUCCCUGGGCUCAACCCAGGAACUGCAUUUGAAACUCCCUUUCUUGAGUGUCGGAGAGGAAAGUGGAAUUCCUGGUGUAGAGGUGAAAUUCGUAGAUAUCAGGAGGAGCACCGGUGGCGAAGGCGGCUUUCUGGACGACAACUGACGCUGAGACGCGAAAGCGUGGGGAGCAAACAGGAUUAGAUACCCUGGUAGUCCACGCUGUAAACGAUGAACACUAGGUGUCGUGGGUAUUGACCCCCGCGGUGCCGCAGCUAACGCAUUAAGUGUUCCGCCUGGGAAGUACGGUCGCAAGACUA